This 71-nucleotide transfer RNA is filed under the name Patescibacteria group bacterium. Its description in RNAcentral is "tRNA-His". It matches the Rfam family "tRNA". From Rfam's summary of the family: Transfer RNA (tRNA) molecules are approximately 80 nucleotides in length. Their secondary structure includes four short double-helical elements and three loops (D, anti-codon, and T loops). Further hydrogen bonds mediate the characteristic L-shaped molecular structure. tRNAs have two regions of fundamental functional importance: the anti-codon, which is responsible for specific mRNA codon recognition, and the 3' end, to which the tRNAs corresponding amino acid is attached (by aminoacyl-tRNA synthetases). tRNAs cope with the degeneracy of the genetic code in two manners: having more than one tRNA (with a specific anti-codon) for a particular amino acid; and 'wobble' base-pairing, i.e. permitting non-standard base-pairing at the 3rd anti-codon position. The record is from RNAcentral.
GUGGGCGUAGUUUAAUGGUAAAACUCCUCGUUGUGGUCGAGGUAUCGGCGGUUCGAUUCCGCUCGCUCACC